AAAACAUCAGCAACCAUUUCUUUUGUUGAUAGAUACUUCAAGGAUAUUUCAUUAUUGUCAAUUUUCUGUUUAAUAAAUUUAGCUUUAAUGUCCACAUGUUUGGUCCUUGACGAGUAUUUAUUAUUUGUGGCCACUUGUAUAGCUCCUUUGUUAUCACAGUACAGAACCAUGUUGACUUUGCUGUUUGGAUUGAGUUCUUUUUCGAGUCGUUUUAACCAAACAGAUUCCUGUAUAGCUGCUGUAAUUGCCAUGAACUCAGCUUCCGUUGAAGAUAGUGCCACCGUUUUUUGCCUUUUUGUAGACCACGAUAUUGCUGCUGAUUGAAAAAUGAAUACGUAGCCAGUUGUCGAAUGACGGUCGUCCAAAUUUCCAGCCCAAUCUGCAUCGCAAUAUCCACUUCCCAAUGCGCUCUGCCAGGAUUAAUUCCAAAUCUGCUCAGCAUAUUCACAGCGUAGUAUAUAUCAGGGCGCGAAACCUGUGCAGCGUACAACAAGCACCCAAUAGCUUCCAUAUAAGGAGUAUUCGACAUUUUUUCCUUUUCAGCCUCGGUUUUAGGGGACAUAAUUUCGGACAACUUCUGAUUAUAGUCCAUCGGUGUUGACGAAGGGUUACACUCAUUCAUUCCGAAACGUGUCAGAACAUCUGAUAUAUACUUAGACUGAUCAAUUUUGAUUCCUUCUCCAAAUCGUGAUAUUGUCAUACCAAGCACAGUACAUACUUCCCCCAUGUCUUUCAUUUUAAAUUUAUUCGAAAGAGCGUCCUUAACAGAAUUUAUUUCAUUAACAUCAUUGGAAAAUAUAAGAACGUCGUCGACGUAUAUUGCAAUAUAAAUCUUCUUUUCUUCCGUCAUCUUAGAGUAUACGCAUUGAUCCACUUCACCUCGUACAAAACCCAUAUCGACAAGUUCCUUGUUUAUAGUCUCAUUCCAUACUCUACCAGAUUGUUUCAAGCCGUAUAUGGAUCUAUUAAGCUUACAUACUUUAUUAGAACCAUCACGGAAGCCUUCGGGUUGUUCCAUGUAUAUGAUUUCUUUUAAAAUCCCAUUUAAGUAAGCGCUAACAGCAUCCAUCUGAUGAAUCUUCAUAUCAUAUUUUACUGCCAACGCUGUUAAAUAUCGUAUUGAUUCAUACCGAACAACUGGAGAGAAUGUUUCCAUAUAAUCGAUACCUUCAGUCUGUGUGAAGCCCUUUGCGACUAAUCUUGCUUUCCAUCGCAACGUGUUUCCAUUGGAAUCCAGCUUUGACUUAAAAACCCAUUUUGAUUUCACAGCUUUGCAUCCUUCAGGAAGUUCAACCAAAGUCCAAGUAUUAUUGACUUUCAAUGAAUUAAUUUCUUCUUUCAUAGCUAUUUUCCAAUUUUCAGAAUCUUUAGAUGACAUUGCCUGUUUUAUAUUCUGAGGGUCUGAAGAAACAUACUCUAUUGCAGAAAACGCCGUUGAUGAUUGAUUUCGGUUUGCAAUCCUUUCUGAUCUUCGAAUAUUAUCAGAUAUUUGUAUUGGUCGGUUUGGUUCCCACUCUUCAUCAUUUGUGUCCACGUAGCCGUUGUUCUCUUGGCAUUCUGAGUCCAAAAACUCACUAUCAGUCUCAGAAUCACUACGAGGCUCAUUUUGAAUUUCAUUAUUGCCAUUCAAUUCGCUUGACUCCAUAUUCGUUGAUACAGUAUUUACUGUUUGGUCCAA
Long non-coding RNA from Musca vetustissima, 1678 nucleotides. RefSeq lists it as uncharacterized. NCBI's taxonomy places the organism in Eukaryota, Metazoa, Arthropoda, Insecta, Diptera, Muscidae. The transcript is spliced from 2 exons. The record is from RefSeq and is a predicted model, not a curated record.